CCGCGUCCAAGCAGUUAGGCUGGGAAAUAGGCAAAUCCGUUUCCCAUAAGGCUGAGCUGUGAUGGCGAGCGAAAUAUAGUAGCGAAGUUCCUGAUUCCACACUGCCAAGAAAAGCCUCUAGCGAGGUGAGAGGUGCCCGUACCGCAAACCGACACAGGUAGGCGAGGAGAGAAUCCUAAGGUGAUCGAGAGAACUCUCGUUAAGGAACUCGGCAAAAUGACCCCGUAACUUCGGGAGAAGGGGUGCUCUGUUAGGGUGCAAGCCCGAGAGAGCCGCAGUGAAUAGGCCCAGGCGACUGUUUAGCAAAAACACAGGUCUCUGCGAAGCCGUAAGGCGAAGUAUAGGGGCUGACGCCUGCCCGGUGCUGGAAGGUUAAGAGGAGCGCUUAGCGUAAGCGAAGGUGCGAAUUGAAGCCCCAGUAAACGGCGGCCGUAACAAUAACGGUCCUAAGGUAGCGAAAUUCCUUGUCGGGUAAGUUCCGACCCGCACGAAAGGCGCAACGAUCUGGGCACUGUCUCAACGAGAGACUCGGUGAAAUUAUAGUACCUGUGAAGAUGCAGGUUACCCGCGACAGGACGGAAAGACCCCGUGGAGCUUUACUGCAGCCUGAUAUUGAAUGUUGGUACAGCUUGUACAGGAUAGGUAGGAGCCUUGGAAACCGGAGCGCCAGCUUCGGUGGAGGCAUCGGUGGGAUACUACCCUGGCUGUAUUGACCUUCUAACCCGCCGCCCUUAUCGGGCGGGGAGACAGUGUCAGGUGGGCAGUUUGACUGGGGCGGUCGCCUCCUAAAAGGUAACGGAGGCGCCCAAAGGUUCCCUCAGAAUGGUUGGAAAUCAUUCGCAGAGUGUAAAGGCACAAGGGAGCUUGACUGCGAGACCUACAAGUCGAGCAGGGACGAAAGUCGGGCUUAGUGAUCCGGUGGUUCCGCAUGGAAGGGCCAUCGCUCAACGGAUAAAAGCUACCCCGGGGAUAACAGGCUUAUCUCCCCCAAGAGUCCACAUCGACGGGGAGGUUUGGCACCUCGAUGUCGGCUCAUCGCAUCCUGGGGCUGUAGUCGGUCCCAAGGGUUGGGCUGUUCGCCCAUUAAAGCGGUACGCGAGCUGGGUUCAGAACGUCGUGAGACAGUUCGGUCCCUAUCCGUCGCGGGCGCAGGAAAUUUGAGAGGAGCUGUCCUUAGUACGAGAGGACCGGGAUGGACGCACCGCUGGUGUACCAGUUGUUCUGCCAAGGGCAUCGCUGGGUAGCUAUGUGCGGACGGGAUAAGUGCUGAAAGCAUCUAAGCAUGAAGCCCCCUUCAAGAUGAGAUUUCCCAUUCCGCAAGGAAGUAAGAUCCCUGAAAGAUGAUCAGGUUGAUAGGUCUGA
RNAcentral lists this ribosomal RNA (1362 nucleotides) under metagenome. RNAcentral's name for it is "bacterial LSU rRNA". It matches the Rfam family "Bacterial large subunit ribosomal RNA", at positions 1506 to 2865 of the family's 2925-position model. The record is from RNAcentral.